RNAcentral lists this ribosomal RNA (458 nucleotides) under uncultured bacterium. RNAcentral's name for it is "partial 16S ribosomal RNA". It matches the Rfam family "Bacterial small subunit ribosomal RNA", at positions 338 to 795 of the family's 1533-position model. The record is from RNAcentral.
CCUACGGGUGGCAGCAGUGAGGAAUAUUGGUCAAUGGGCGAGAGCCUGAACCAGCCAAGUCGCGUGAGGGAGUACUGCCCUAUGGGUUGUAAACCUCUUUUGUCGGGGAGCAAAAGCCGGACGUGUCCGGCUUUGAGAGUACCCGAAGAAAAAGCAUCGGCUAACUCCGUGCCAGCAGCCGCGGUAAUACGGAGGUUGCGGGCGUUAUCCGGAUUUAUGGGGUUUAAGGGGUGCGCGGGCGGAUGUUUAAGUCAGCGGGCAAAUCGUGGGGCUAAACCCCAAACAGGCGUUGAAACUGGUGAUCUAGAGUGUGCGAGAGGUAGGCGGAAUGCGUGGUGGAGCGGUGAAAUGCAUAGAUAUGACGAAGAACCCCGAUUGCGAAGGCAGCAUCCCGGUGCACAACUGACGCUCAGGCACGAAAGCGUGGGUAUCGAACAGGAUUAGAUACCCUAGUAGUC